Molecule: transfer RNA, 80 nt
Filed under: Ixodes scapularis (black-legged tick)
Lineage: Eukaryota; Metazoa; Arthropoda; Arachnida; Ixodida; Ixodidae
Rfam family: tRNA
About the family: Transfer RNA (tRNA) molecules are approximately 80 nucleotides in length.
Source: Rfam by way of RNAcentral
GCAGUCGUGGCCGAGUGGUUAAGGCGAUGGACUAGAAAUCUAUUCGCGUCUCCCCGCAGUUUCAUAUCCUGUCGACUGCG